Molecule: transfer RNA, 73 nt
Filed under: Ceriodaphnia dubia
Lineage: Eukaryota; Metazoa; Arthropoda; Branchiopoda; Diplostraca; Daphniidae
Description: tRNA-His
Source: RNAcentral
AUUGAUGUAGUUUAAAAAAAAAUUUAGAUUUGUGGUAUCUAAGAUGUAAAAUUUACCUUCAAUCGUGUCUAAG